AAAUUCAGCACACCUCUGGCAGACGCAGAGUUUAUAAAGCAGAAGAGGUGCAUCCGUUUGAAAUUCUUGCACAGAGUCAAAUCAGCAGAACGCACCGGUUAGAGUGGUAAGACCUCGAUUCAUCACCUUUUUGAAGCUUUGUAUAUUAUAAAUUAAUAUUUUUAUGAUUAUGUCAGUAAUUUACUAUGUUAAGUGACGUCACAACAGCGAAUAUGGAUAACGAUGUAUCUAUUAUUAUGCUUUUACGAAAUGUCGCAGUCAGUAUAACCCUUAAUCGUUAUUUAUGAAGAUUUACUAUAAUAGUAUUAAUAUUAAAAAAUCAUCGUACUUUUAUACUGACCGGUGAUAAUACUUGGUAUUAUUCCUUUACUUGUGGAGGCCUCGUGCCCACGUGGUGAGGAUGCUACAAGCUAGUAGCUAAACACUGCAGUCCAAUCUAGCAGCGCCAUCACGCUUUAGAAGUUUAUUUUUCCUUAAUUGAGCUUUAAUCGGACUUCUCCGCUGAUGUUUUAGCACUGGGCUCUGAGUCUCCAUGAAGAGGCUGUGCAUCUUCGGCCUGACAAGCCGAGGUUUCUGAGGAGAACGCUCACACAGCACGUGGGUCCCUGGCAUCGGGUCAUGAUGCUACACUAAACAUGUGUUUCUUUUUCUGUUUGCAGAGUUCUGGUCAAACCAAAUCUGGACCCUAACACUAACAGGUUUCUAUCUGCGACCACUAACAAAUCAGCCCGAUCAAUAAACUUGCCUGCAACUCUACCA
Molecule: non-coding RNA, 759 nt
Organism: Oryzias latipes (Japanese medaka)
Lineage: Eukaryota; Metazoa; Chordata; Actinopteri; Beloniformes; Adrianichthyidae
Source: RefSeq, a predicted model, not a curated record